CGGGGGGGGGGCAAGCGUUGUUCGGAAUUACUGGGCGUAAAGGGCGCGUAGGCGGACGGGACAGUCUUUCGUGAAAUCCCACGGGCUCAACCGUGGAACUGCGGGAGAUACUUCUCGUCUUGAGUUCGGGAGAGGAGUGUGGAAUUCCCAGUGUAGCGGUGAAAUGCGUAGAUAUUGGGAGGAACACCGGUGGCGAAGGCGGCACUCUGGACCGAUACUGACGCUGAGGCGCGAAAGCUAGGGGAGCAAACGGGAUUAGAUACCCCGGUAGUCCUGGCUGUAAACGCUGAGCACUUGGUGUAGCGGGUAUCGACCCCUGCUGUGCCGAAGCUAACGCAUUAAGUGCUCCGCCUGGGGAGUACGGUCGCAAAGGCUG
This 376-nucleotide ribosomal RNA is filed under the name uncultured organism. RNAcentral describes it as "partial 16S ribosomal RNA". It matches the Rfam family "Bacterial small subunit ribosomal RNA", at positions 524 to 896 of the family's 1533-position model. The record is from RNAcentral.